RNAcentral lists this ribosomal RNA (475 nucleotides) under Magnetococcales bacterium. Its description in RNAcentral is "bacterial SSU rRNA". It matches the Rfam family "Bacterial small subunit ribosomal RNA", at positions 1 to 500 of the family's 1533-position model. Lineage: Bacteria; Pseudomonadati; Pseudomonadota; Magnetococcia; Magnetococcales. The record is from RNAcentral.
CUGUCGGAGAGUUUGAUCCUGGCUCAGAACGAACGCUGGCGGUACGCUUAACACAUGCAAGUCGAACGGUAACAGGUCCUUCGGGAUGCUGACGAGUGGCGAACGGGUGCGUAACGCGUGGAUACCUGCCCCGAGGUGUGGGACAACAGCUGGAAACGGCUGCUAAUACCGCAUAAGCCUUACGAGGGAAAGGCGCAAGUCGCCUUGGGAGGGGUCCGCGUCGGAUUAGCUAGUUGGUGGGGUAAAGGCCUACCAAGGCGACGAUCCGUAGCUGGUCUGAGAGGAUGAUCAGCCACACUGGGACUGAGACACGGCCCAGACUCCUACGGGAGGCAGCAGUGGGGAAUAUUGCGCAAUGGGGGCAACCCUGACGCAGCGAUACCGCGUGGGUGAAGAAGGCCUUCGGGUUGUAAAGCCCUUUCAGACCAGCUACGGAUCGUCGCCUUGGUAGGCCUUUACCCCACCAACUAGCUAA